RNAcentral lists this long non-coding RNA (922 nucleotides) under Homo sapiens (human). RNAcentral describes it as "non-protein coding lnc-GJA1-8:2". The record is from RNAcentral. Lineage: Eukaryota; Metazoa; Chordata; Mammalia; Primates; Hominidae.
ACUCUUAGUUGCUAGCCUUCAGUACCAGCAGACCUCAGGCUCUCCCGACUAACAACAAAAGAGACAUCAGGAAUGAUCUGAUGGGAGGACCCGACGACGGAACGCCACGAUGCGCGUGACGUCAGCUCGCUGAUGUGGCUUCCUUGGUGGGAGGGAGUGCAACUGGUGUCCUGGGGGCGCCCAGAGAAUGUUCGGGUGAGCCACUCUCCUUCGCCGCCGCGUUGUAGGUGGGAGGGAAGAGAGUACGAAGAGAAAGUGAUCAAUAAAAGAAAGAUAGUAAAAGUGAAACUGAAAGUAGCCUGACGAGCCUCAGUUGAAGAGUGAAUGGUAUUGAAAAGUUGCAGUGUUGUUUUCCUCUAACGGCUAACACCUAUUGAGCUCCUACGCCCUACCAAACACUUUCCUUACCAAGCACCCUGCUAGGAGCUAUGAAGAACUCCCUCACUAAGUAACAGAGAGAAAAAUAAAUUAACGAUUACAAUACAGUGCAAUUAAAUGUCAUGCUAGAAAAAAAAGAUAUGCCAAGUCGGUGCUGUGGAGACCCAGAAUUAGUUUCAACCCAAUAGAGGAGUUGAGGAAAGAAGCAAAGAGAGUAAACUGGACAUGCAAAGAAUAGGGGCCUCAGAGUGUAGGAUAUACUGGCACUUGAGGUAAUCGGGUUAGAAAGAGGAGAUGAGGAAGCUAAAGAAGUAAAUUGGUCACAUCUGGAAGGGUCUAAUCUUUUGGCACGUUAAGGGAUUCGAGAUUUUUCUGCAAGUAAUAGGACGCAAUGGGAUUCCAGAGAGACACCAUGUGAUGGUAUCAUAUAUAAAGAUCGUUCUGCGGGAAGCUGCAGUGGAUAUUCAUGGUCCCUCAUCCAGUUUCCAGUCUAGAUCAAUUCCCCAGACCAUGGUUAUGUCCAGGCUAUAAGGAACCGUCCCAC